GGAAGGGAGGUGACUUUGGAAGGAGAAUAAUAAACAUAGAUCCAUAGAAACGGGGAAGGGACAUUCUAGACCUGAGCUUCUCAAUUGGGGAUACCUGGGAAGCCACACCUAAUAGAUCAGAAUCUCCUAGGACAGGUCCCAGGCAUAUGCACUUUGAGAAAGCGCCACAGCACAAACUGCUUUUCCAGGCAGGAGACAUGAAUGGCGCAUACAGAUUUAUCAACUAUGACUUGACUGUAUUAGAAGAUGCAUUCAGGACUUCCCUGGUGGCGCAGUGGUUAAGAAUCUGCCUGCCAAUGCAGGGGACACGGGUUCGAGCCCUGGUCCGGGAGGAUCCCACAUGCCGCGGAGCAACGAAGCCCGUGCACCACAACUACUGAGCCUGCGCUCUAGAGCCCACGAGCCACAACUGUUGAGCCCGUGCACCACAACUACUGAAGCCCGUGCGCCUAGAGCACAUGCUCCGCAGAGAGAAGCCACCACAAUGAGAAGCCCAUGCACCGCAACGAAGAGUAGUAGCCUCCGCUCGCCACAACUAGAGAAAGCCCGCGCGCGCAGCAACGAAGACCCAAGGCAGCCAAAAAUUAAUUAAUUAAUUAAUUAAUUAAUUUAAAAAAAAGAAGAUGCAUUCAUUCCUUGAACAAGUAUACUGAGGCCCACCAAGUACAUGACGUUAUUAGGUUCCAGGGAUACAAAGUUUUUGUUCCUUAUGGAGCAUGCAUAUUAGUGGAUAAGCGAGGAAACAUCCUAUCACAAAACUUCCUGAAUGCUAAGAAGGAAGAGACACCCAGGACCACAGCUGGAAGACCCUCCAUCUCUUGGCUCAGCUCUUGAUGCUCACGUAGAAAUGAACAUCAUUCAAUGAAUGACAAAUGUAUCUACAAAAUGCCGUAAGACGCAGGGUAAUGGUCACAUACCAGCACUGAGCUCCUGCCUGAAUUAUAAAACACAAAGAUUUUUGGAACAACAAAAAAAAAACCUCAUGACACUUGACAACUCCAGAGGCCAGGCCUGAAACUCCAAGCCUGUCCCUACCUCCCAUCUGGAUGGACCCGCAGAAGGAACAAGCAGCUAUGAAGGUGCCCAUGAGGCAACUCAUAAAACAAUCUACUCUCUCUCCAGUCCUCAUCGUCUCCUCCCCCAAUCCAACAAAUGACCUACCACCACAGGGAUAAAGAUCUUAUGGCUUCACUUCAGGCUAAUGCUUCCAAGGCACAGACAUUUGACUAGCAACCAUUUUCGAAUUAUUUCUCUUUCGCUUUGCACACAAAGUUAGGUGGUAAUUGUCUGCCGGUUUAGAAACACCACCGACCACCACACCAGAACGAAUUUCCAAAAGCUAUAUUGCAGGGAAUUAGGUUAAGGCACAGAUCAACCUUUGCCAACUCUACACAUAAGUUCAAAAAUGAGCCAACCACAAUAAAAAUAUACUGACUGUACUACUAAU
Molecule: long non-coding RNA, 1447 nt
Organism: Balaenoptera ricei (Rice's whale)
Lineage: Eukaryota; Metazoa; Chordata; Mammalia; Artiodactyla; Balaenopteridae
Exons: 3
Source: RefSeq, a predicted model, not a curated record